Molecule: transfer RNA, 80 nt
Filed under: Akkermansia sp.
Lineage: Bacteria; Pseudomonadati; Verrucomicrobiota; Verrucomicrobiia; Verrucomicrobiales; Akkermansiaceae
Description: tRNA-Leu
Rfam family: tRNA
About the family: Transfer RNA (tRNA) molecules are approximately 80 nucleotides in length. Their secondary structure includes four short double-helical elements and three loops (D, anti-codon, and T loops).
Source: RNAcentral
GCCGGCUUGGCGGAAUGGUAGACGCGCUCGACUCAAAAUCGAGUUCCACAAGAGUGUGGGUUCGAGUCCCACAGCCGGUA